ACCCCACAAGUGGAGCAGUCUCAAUAGACAGGAAGUGAGCCCAGGGAGCAGGAGCAAAAGCGGUUCUGGUGCUUUAUACUUUCAGGGCAGGGCAGCCAGCGGCCUGCAGUGGGUCCCCCGUGUGUGUGUGUGUGUGUGUGUGAGAGUGGCUGAGGGUGGGCACAGUGCACGGGAGCUCACGGAGAGCAGCUUUCUAAGUCUUGGUAAAGAAACAAGCUGACAAGAGACCUAGCUUUCUGUCUUUUAAGAAUGGUAUUGGGGGAGGGGGCCAGCUGAGGUCCUUCACUGGGUUUUCUCCACCCUCCCAUAGAUUGUCAGCUGUAAGUCAACUCCUAGUGUAAAGGGGGGGGGGGGCUGUGCUAGGAGUCCCCAUAAACAUGUACUGUAAUUCUUUGUAUAUAGAAAAAAAUACUGUAAAGUAAAGUUUAACUUUACUCUUA
This is a long non-coding RNA of Erinaceus europaeus (western European hedgehog), 440 nucleotides long. RefSeq lists it as uncharacterized. The transcript has 2 exons. The record is from RefSeq and is a predicted model, not a curated record. Lineage: Eukaryota; Metazoa; Chordata; Mammalia; Eulipotyphla; Erinaceidae.